UACGGAGGGUGCAAGCGUUACUCGGAAUCACUGGGCGUAAAGGAUGCGUAGGCUGGAUGUCAAGUUGGAAGUGAAAUCCUAUGGCUUAACCAUAGAACUGCUUCCAAAACUGGCAACCUAGAGUGAGGGAGAGGCAGAUGGAAUUAGUGGUGUAGGGGUAAAAUCCGUAAAUAUCACUAGGAAUACCGAUUGCGAAGGCGAUCUGCUAGAACUCUACUGACGCUAAGGCAUGAAAGCGUGGGGAGCAAACAGGAUUAGAUACCCUGGUAGUCCACGCCCUAAACGAUGUACACUAGUUGUUGGGAUGCUAGUCAUCUCAGUAAUGCAGUUAACACAUUAAGUGUACCGCCUGGGGAGUACGGUCGCAAGAUUAAAACUCAAAGGAAUAGACGGGGACCCGCACAAGCGGUGGAGCAUGUGGUUUAAUUCGAAGAUACACGAAGAACCUUACCUAGCCUUGAUAUCCUUGGAAUCUCUCAGAGAUGAGAGAGUGCUAGUUUACUAGAACCAAGUGACAGGUGCUGCACGGCUGUCGUCAGCUCGUGUCGUGAGAUGUUGGGUUAAGUCCCGCAACGAGCGCAACCCUCGUCCUUAGUUGCUAACAGUUCGGCUGAACACUCUAA
Molecule: ribosomal RNA, 623 nt
Filed under: uncultured bacterium
Lineage: Bacteria
Description: bacterial SSU rRNA
Rfam family: Bacterial small subunit ribosomal RNA
Source: RNAcentral